Molecule: unclassified non-coding RNA, 394 nt
Filed under: Hevea brasiliensis (rubber tree)
Lineage: Eukaryota; Viridiplantae; Streptophyta; Magnoliopsida; Malpighiales; Euphorbiaceae
Source: RNAcentral
GAGGCUGAUUUCUCCACUGAUGACACGAUUCUCGGUAAGAGUCUUGCUCUCCAGGCCUAAUCCAUACAGCCCAUUUCUUUUUUUCCUGUUUCCAUUCGAGUGUAGCAGUAAGUUACCAAUUAUCAAACAAUUACCACUUCAAUAGAAAUAUAUGGAAUCCAGAUGUUGUGCACAGUCUCUUGUAAGAGGCAUUUGCAUGGGAGAUCAACUAAACUGGAGUUGUUAUUAAGCAAUUUGAGCCUUUCCUUGUCUCAUGUAAUAUCUCAGUUUUCUUUCAUAGUACUAGCAAAGCGCAUAUUUAUUAAUUUCCCAUGAAAAUUUGCAUUGCUCUAGAAUAUUCAAGGACUGAACAAAGAAAAAUUAUGUAUUGACUAUCAUAAUAAAUUUCAAGAAC